UCAAAGAUUAAGCCAUGCAUGUCUAAGUAUAAGCAACUAUACUGUGAAACUGCGAAUGGCUCAUUAAAUCAGUUAUCGUUUAUUUAUAGUACCUUACUACAUGGAUAACCGUGGUAAUUCUAGAGCUAAUACAUGCUAAAAACCCCGACUUACGAAGGGGUGUACUUAUUAGAUAAAAAGCCAAUGCCUUCGGGGCUCUGUGGUGAUUCAUAAUAAUUCAACGAAUCGCAUGGCCUUGCGCCGGCGAUGGUUCAUUCAAAUUUCUGCCCUAUCAUAGUUUUGACUGGAACGUAGUGGGCUCCAGUGCUUUCGACGGGUAACGGAGAAUUAGGGUUCUAUUCCGGAGAGGGAGCCUGAGAAACGGCUACCACAUCCAAGGAAGGCAGCAGGCGCGCAAAUUACCCAAUCCCAACACGGGGAGGUAGUGACAAUAAAUACUGAUACAGGGCUCUUUUGGGUCUUGUAAUUGGAAUGAGUACAAUCUAAAUCCCUUAACGAGGAACAAUUGGAGGGCAAGUCUGGUG
Molecule: ribosomal RNA, 524 nt
Filed under: uncultured fungus
Lineage: Eukaryota; Fungi
Description: SSU rRNA
Rfam family: Eukaryotic small subunit ribosomal RNA
Source: RNAcentral